Long non-coding RNA from Siniperca chuatsi (mandarin fish), 3403 nucleotides. RefSeq lists it as uncharacterized. The transcript is spliced from 3 exons. The record is from RefSeq and is a predicted model, not a curated record. Lineage: Eukaryota; Metazoa; Chordata; Actinopteri; Centrarchiformes; Sinipercidae.
CUCAUUUUAAUUACUUUAUAUACUGCUGCUUUUGAAUUUCUCCCCCGGGGAUCAAUAAAGUCGUACCUUACGUUAACCUGUAAUAAUACUUUUGUUGAUUUUAUUUUGUAUUAAUCUGAACCUGCAAAGUAACUAAAUGUAUCAGACAAAUGCAGUGCAGUAAAAAGUACAAUAUUUCCUCUGAGACGUGGUGCAGUAGAAGCAGAAAGUAGCAGAAAAUGGAAAUACUCGCGUAAAGCACCUCAAGAUCGUGGCGUUCGUUUUUUCCACCAAUAAGAAACACCGGUGUCGCCAAAGCAACCAGAAGCGAAAUUCAAAGAUUUUAACUUUUAAAUCGGCCUUCGUCAUAAGAUGUGUGUGCGCUUUCGUGCUCACGGGAGGUGUAGUUUUCAUACAAAUUGAUGCUUAUACUUUUUUUUUUUUUUUUAUUAAUAAUAAUAAACAAUUUUUAAUGUGUUCAGAGGUUCGGUGGGUCGCAAUAUAUAACACAAACAGCCACAGAAGGUCAAACUCAGCAGCCGUUCUUCACUUCACUUAUUUCAGAGGAAAUGAAGGUAAAAUGGCCGUCUUGCACGGAGUGCGAGCAGAUCAGUGAAGCGAGCGUCACCUUCAUGACCUCAGCUCAGCAGCCACAUCUGCACAGUAAGUAGCCAACGUUACUCUACAUGUUUAUCAUUUAUUAUUUUCAAGAUCUGAGGAUCGUUUUGCGUGUGCACAGUUUACCGAUCUGUUCCCACCAACUUCCAUUUGACCCCCGGGGGCCUCCUUAAUUCUGUGACAGCAGCCGUGUACUUUGUGCAGCUAACAGCUAAAUAGGUGACUGACAUCCAACGGCAACCAAUCAGCAGCCUCCUCAGCUAAAGUGUGUUGAGCUGCAGUUCCUCUAACCUCCACUAGAUGCCGCUGUGAUCGAACGCUGACUGUAUUGAAGUGAAUGGGGGGGAAAACCUCCAACUUCUCUCUACAAACUCAGUCAGUACAGUUUUUACGCAACAGGUUCUGCUCUCGGGGGUUAAUUUCACUUGUGAUGUGAGUCUGAGGGCAGAUUGUCAACAUUUAGUUCCUUUAAGCAGACAUUAAAGCUGUGUGUUUGAUUGACAGGUGUCGCGCCCUGUUACCACGUGCUCUGGUGGUUGCCGCUCCGCCUCUUUUUGCCCGAGUUAGGAUUUCCUGGCUCCAGCGUGUGACGCAGAGGGCGGCGAGCUCCCGAGCGUCCACAGAGACGGGUUUCAUACAGUCCGAUGGGAGUAUGAAGUAUCAGCGGGGGUGCAGCGGUGGCGUCUCCCGGCCAGAGUCUCUGAUGUAACGUCCUCGGAGACCUGCAGGUCAACAGCUCUGCUUUUAAACAACAAGCCUGAAGGUGUAGCAGAUGUCCUCCAGCUCUACAGGAGCUUUGUUAUCCUCAUUAUCAUCACCCUCGCCUUCAUCUUCAGUGUAAUUAGCGCUGAGCUGCAGCUGUGAGCGGCGGCCCCCGGGGGCCCCCCCGACUCCCACAGGCCCCCGCUUAGUAAACACUCAGUGUGGAUAAUGAUGUUCAGAUGGAGCUCAUUGACCUGCAGUCUGACACACUUCUGGCAGAGCACUUCAGGUGUGACAGACGACACAAGUAAUCAGGCAAGUUUCAAGAGUCUGCUCAUUGAUUUUCAUGUCACAUGGAAAUGAUUAGAAACCGAUGGCUGUCACCAAUUUGUGACCUUAAGUCGCCACAGUUUAGUAGUAAAUAUAAAAACACUGGAAUAGUCCUUUUUAAUUGCAGGAUUUUAAAUUUUCUCGCACCACUGACUUAAAUAAAAGUCAACAUAAUUAAUCUGCGUCAGGACAGUUUUGGAUUUUUCCCAAAUUAUGGAGCACUAAAGUGAUAUUUUUGUAUAUUUUGCUUUCUCAAUACAACUUUGUUGUCAGAUAAACUUGUUAGUCAGGGCCGAAGACAGGAUUAAUAUUAACAUUAAUAAUAAUCAUUUUAUUUGUACAGACGUCAAAGUGCUUUCCAGUGCAGGGAGACGGCAUAAAAAGACAAUCGCAGAUAUAAAAACAGCAUAAAAGACACAGUUACAUAUAAAAACAAUUAAAAGUAAACACACAAUCUGGCUGUAACGCAACAAAACAAAUGAGUCUAGUUGUCAGACAGAAAGGGGAGUCUAUAAAAACUGAAUAACAUUUAAAAAUGCAGUAGAAACGACCUCAGCAGGGUCGAAGCUACAACGGCAGCUAAAGGGACAAGUUGCUUUUAUAAAACGUCUCCGGCAGGUUACUUUCAGAGAGUUGAUUUUAAAAGACUUAAAAGACUCACUGCUGGACUUUUACUCCUCCCUCAAAGAGGAGAGCUUUCCACACCUGAGGAGGCAUGCUCAGAGGAUUCUAGUCCUCUUUGGAUCUACCUGUGUAUGCGAACAGACGUUCUCAGUGACGAAGUUCAACAAAUCCAAACACAGGUCCUCUGUCACUGAUGACCUUUGCGUAGCCGACUCAGACGUUCAGCCAGAUUUCAAUGUCCUUGUUCAAGCCCAGAACAGACCGGAUUAUUCUCACUGAAGAGGUCAAAUGAGGUGGAAAACAUUUUUCAAGUUAUUGUUUGUUGUAUUGCUGUAUUUCUAUAAACUUAAGUUGUUUUUUUCAUUGUUUGUGGUUAAAAACAAGUUUUUAACGAGUUAAAAACAAAUUGCACUGAGUCAAUAAUUGUUUUUUUUCUUAUAUAACCACAAUUUCACAUUGCCUAAUAUAAAUAUUUACAGAAUAGUUUUAUUCUUCCGAUUAUCAGUACCAGCUAUUAAAAAUAUAUAAUUUAGUGCAUUUUACAAUUGAAGAAAGUUGAGCAGAAUUAAGUUCAAGUUAUCGUUGGUUUGGCCCUCGGACACAAUUCAGGUUUCUCACGUGGCCCCUUGUAAAACAUGAAUUGCCCAGCCCUGAGCUAGAAGCUAAUGCUGAGUCAACAAACUGAUGACAAAGUAGCUGCAAAGCCACCAUGUAGUUACAGCUGAAUAAAAUCUAAUCUUUACUCUAAUACAGUUGAUUUCGCUGAUUUUAAAAGUGUUUGGUUCGCAAAGCCAACACAAAUAUGUGAAACAAUAAAACAUACAGUGUAAUUACAAAGCCAGCUGUGGGGGUAGCCAUCUUGGAAUAUGCGUGAACACUAAAACCUGAACAGGAGGUUUUCUUGAUAUUCCCAUUUCGCCGACAUACUGUAGCAUGAAUGCAGCUAACUGGACCCAGAAGCUAACGCUAAGCUAACUGAAUAGUCUUUAUGUUAGUUUGGUUUAGCUAAAGGUUAGCUAACAGUGCAGUUUAGCAGUUCACUACAUCUACACUACAUCUUUAGUCGCACGUUAUUUUACAGAUUUAAGAUUUCUGCACACAAAACACAUAAAAAUGUACAGCUGAAAGAUAAGUCGAUUAAUCAGUUAGU